UACGUAGGGCGCAAGCGUUAUCCGGAAUUAUUGGGCGUAAAGAGCUCGUAGGCGGUUUGUCGCGUCUGCCGUGAAAGUCCGGGGCUCAACUCCGGAUCUGCGGUGGGUACGGGCAGACUAGAGUGAUGUAGGGGAGACUGGAAUUCCUGGUGUAGCGGUGAAAUGCGCAGAUAUCAGGAGGAACACCGAUGGCGGAGGCAGGUCUCUGGGCAUUAACUGACGCUGAGGAGCGAAAGCAUGGGGAGCGAACAGG
RNAcentral lists this ribosomal RNA (253 nucleotides) under uncultured bacterium. RNAcentral's name for it is "partial 16S ribosomal RNA". It matches the Rfam family "Bacterial small subunit ribosomal RNA", at positions 524 to 776 of the family's 1533-position model. The record is from RNAcentral.